UACGUAGGGUGCAAGCGUUGUCCGGAAUUAUUGGGCGUAAAGAGCUCGUAGGCGGCUCGUCGCGUCGGCUGUGAAAACCUGGGGCUCAACCCCGGGCCUGCAGCCGAUACGGGCAAACUAGAGUACUGCAGGGGAGACUGGAAUUCCUGGUGUAGCGGUGAAAUGCGCAGAUAUCAGGAGGAACACCGGUGGCGAAGGCGGGUCUCUGGGCAGUAACUGACGCUGAGGAGCGAAAGCGUGGGGAGCGAACAGG
RNAcentral lists this ribosomal RNA (253 nucleotides) under uncultured bacterium. Its description in RNAcentral is "partial 16S ribosomal RNA". It matches the Rfam family "Bacterial small subunit ribosomal RNA", at positions 524 to 776 of the family's 1533-position model. The record is from RNAcentral.